Molecule: long non-coding RNA, 4311 nt
Filed under: Corvus moneduloides (New Caledonian crow)
Lineage: Eukaryota; Metazoa; Chordata; Aves; Passeriformes; Corvidae
Description: lncRNA (ENSCMUG00000016888.1)
Source: RNAcentral
GAAAAGAAAGGUCUGCAACAUGGGGGGAUAUUAGGACCCCUGAAGUUUUGCUUUAAAAGUGUGUAGAGUCCUUUUGAGUUGUUUUCCAUUUGAUGGUGGCUAUCAAGUCUCAGAUCCAGUUGCCCACUGGCUUCUUCCCUCCCUAAAAGUGACGGUUUCUUUCAUGUAAUUUCUCAAGGAAUUAGGCUCCUUAUUUUUACAUGGCUACUACUUGGAAAACUGGUAAAUCCUGCCCUGCUGCCUGCUCUUAGAGCUUGGGUGUCCUUCCGUCUUUCUGAAACUCUGUGAAAAUCAACAGGACUAGUGCCAUGGCUUACUACAGGGUCUUCAUUCCUGAACCCCUUCACAGAUCUCCUUGUGGAGACAUAUCUUGCUCUUGCAAAGACUUACCCGUCCAUCAGCUUUUGGCGACCCCCAGGAGUGAAUGCAGUGUACUCUCAUCCUUCCUGUGUUAUUACAGCCUGUCUCACCUUUUCUGACACCUUGUCUUUGCAGGGAGCACUCACUUUACUCCAUCAGCACAGCCGCUCUCCAUCUCCAGAGCUCUAAGAGACCUCACAGCCCCGGGGAGCCUCGGGCAAGGGGAGCAGAGGGAUGUGACUGUCCUUACCUCACCACACGAACCAGGGACUGCAGGGAACAGGUGGAACAAACAUCCCUCCCCCGUCCUUGGGAGCUGGAUGGCAGCGAGGACCUGCUGCUGCCCUCCCCCCAGCGUUAUGUUGGAGAUGACAGCCCACCCAUCACCCUCUGCCUAGGGCAGGUGUGGGGACACCCCCCAUAUCCUCCCGUAACAGCAGUAGCGCCAACACCCCCCGGCUGGGAGGCACGGGGAGGGGGAUACGACUCCCACGCCUUGAGGACGUGGGAACACACACAUCUCCCCCGGCCGCCGCAGCUCCCUGCGCCCCGCGGGUCCCGGCGCGCUCCCGCCGCUGCCGUCUUUGCUGCUGCUGCUGCUGCUGCUGCUGGCGCUGCCCGGCCCCGCGCCGGACGGUGAGAACACAGAGUUACCUCCCUUCCCCACAGCAGGAGGACACUACUCUAUUUUGGAAGAUAUGGUGUCACCAGCUCUUAGUGCUACAGUCAUUGUCAUUGUCACCACAGUCCUAUCGGUGAGCGCUUACUUGUGUUUCCUGAGGUACAUCUGCUCUGGAUGCUGCAAAGCCACCCAAGUAGGACCAGACAGAAGACUUGACCCCAGCACGUUUGAAGAACAAGUCUAAUCUCACCUCAUCAGAGGAUCUACUGAGCUGUGACAAGAAGUGUCUGCAAGAAGAAAUCCCAGGAGGUAGAGACGUUAUUCAGAGAUUACUAACAAGAAGCACCCCCCAUCCAACAUCAGGGUUUUGCCACACUGUACUCUCUGUAUCUUUAAUUGAUUUUUCUAGGGAUAGUGAAUCUUCUUCUGAAGUUUUCUGAUGAAACGCUACUAUUAACAACACUUUCAGUAGCACUCGGCAUUCCUCGGCAUUUUUCAUCUUCUCUGUUAUUAUCUGAUUGACUGCAUUUUUGUUGACACUUCUCUGCUUUCAUAGCUGAUAAUGGAUUUGGGGUUUCAGACUUCUGCCACUGCUACCAUCUUUCUCGCCUGGUGAGAGAGAGAAAGAGCCAAGGACCUUGGGAAUUGUCUGGUAUUGUUAUCUUUUGAAAUUGUAAAGACAAACUGGACACACUUUUGGCACUCCAAAGGCAAGACUUUGCUCUCCAUACACAGAAAUCCAUACAUUUCAUACACUACAGCUUGCAUUGCAUCAGAGGUCAAAACAGGUGAUCUAGUGAUCUUCUGACCUUCUAAUCUUAAGCUGAUCUUCUGAUCAUAAACUCAAUGCCAACAAUGCUCACAUUUCUGUUACUAACAGAUCUUUCAAGUCCAUGUGUCACUUUUUCUUUGCUGUUGAGCCAUUUCAUUUUUGCCAUGUAACCAAGAUGCUACUGGGUGUCUAUCAGAGCCACAACUAUACUGACUGUUUAAAAAAACCCUCACCUAUUAGAAUUCUGGCCAUGCAAGUGAUAUUCUCCCACUCAUGUCCUAGUCAGUGAGUGUACCAUGUCUGAACCACGCUAACUGUGGGGAAAAAACCCACAUCUGGUUAAAACAGAAAAAAUUAAUCUGAAGCUUUCUGGCAGCAGACAUUUUUUGUCAUUCCCAGGACCAGCUGAGAAAAUGAAGUUCAGAAGAAAAUAUCAGUGGAAUGUCUCUUUUUGGGUCAUCUUGGUUUAAGCUGGACUGGGAAGAGCCGAAAAGCUUUUUUUUGGAACAGCUGAUUGUGGGGUUUUCUCUGCAGUUCACAAAGCAAAGGAAGUACAGAUAAAUAAAAGCAAACAUCCCAGUGGUGGCCUGUUUGAGAUCUACCUGCAUCAAGAUUUGAGAUGUGUGUUGUUUAUCACUGGCACAGUCACUGAGGCAAACUACAGCUGUAUUUUCCCUCUUACAAAUGUGCCUCUCCAGCAGAUGUUGUUUUUAUGUCAAUGUCUUCUCUCGUCCAUGAAAACAAAACCCAAACUGUUCUGGUCUUUGUUUUUACAGCAAAAAAAGCUUGAAGAUGGAAUAUUUGAAAUACCCAUGAGGAAAAUUUGAAAGAGAAGCUCUCAUCUUUGCAAACCUGCCUGUGUGGGACAAGCCAAUCCACAUUUUUUUGAUGAGCAGAGUCGCCAGCAAUGCAUGCCAGGCAGGUUUUGGAUCUGAUCUGCGUCCCUUGGGCACCUAGUGCUCCUAAUCCAACAGCAAAGAAGAAAAGAGCCAGGACCACUUUUAUUCUUGGAAAGGGCCAACAAAAAGAGGUGCAGCUCUGCAUGCAGACCUGGAUAUCAUUGUGCAAAUGAAGUCCAACAAUCAUAGCCAAAUUUCACCUGCAAUGCAUCAGCACUGCUUGUGAUUAAAACUUAUAUGUUUGUUUUGCCAAGUCAAAGCUGUAUGUUGUAUUUUGCCUCUUAAGUAUGUAUUUCAGUAGCUCUGUAUAUCUGUGUCACAGGUUAACUGAAGAGCCAAUUUCCAUCAGAUGAAAGACAGUCCUUGGCAAAUCAAUUAUGUUAUAAAAUAUAUGAAAUAGCAGUAUUCAAUAGCCACUUAGGCCUUUUCUUUGUUUCAAAAUUCAGCCACCUAGAAAAUCUUCAAACCUAAAUCAGGAGAGAAAUGAUCACUUGCAUUCAUUAGGAUCAUGUGUGCCAACAUUUCUUUUAAUAUAUUACUUUCAUCCAAAUUGUAGUUCCUAGCAUUUCACUGAGCAGGUUUACUAUGUUCCAGUCCGGUGACUUACAUGCUAGCUCUGAGAGAGCUGUGUAACCCAACUGUUUUCCUUGGAUAUAUUUUCUUUGCAGUAAAAAGGUGAUUUUUGGCUCUUAAACCAAUGAAAGCUGCAGAAUGAGACAAUAACAUUAUAAAAUGUACCCAUAUUAGUGAUAGCAAAAGGGAUAGGGGGGAGAGAAGAGAAUGGGAAAAGUAAUGAAAAUAUGUAGGGAUCAGAGAUCCUGCUCACAGUGUAUUAUUGUUCACUCAAAGGUGAGUGCACAGGUAACCCCAACUGUCCCCUACCCAGUGUUCCCAUUUCCCCAUCUCUCUUCCACAGAUCUUGAUUCCUCCAGCCAUUUCCAAAGACAUUCUCAAUCACUUCCAUGGUCCUAAGUCCCAAUCACAGCCAAGACUAAGAAUGUAGACCAUUUGUUCUCAUUUUUCACCUGCCCUAAUGUUGUUUUUAAUCUCCUCCCAUCUACUCCACAUUUUCUGUGAUAUUCCCAUUACUUGUGACCCAGUGCAUAACCCUUAUUACUGUUGCCACUUCUGGGUUACUUCAAUUCUGUCUGCCAGAAAUGAUUGUUCCCUAAAAGUUGGAGGGAACAUUAUAGAAGUGGAACACAAACUAUAUAACUGUAUAAAAAAAGAGUUCAAAUGGAAUUUAUACAGUGUUGUCCAUAUUUUCUUGUUAAAUAUAAGGCAAUUCUUCCCACAUUAAAGAAGAAUUCUCAGUUAAAUAUAUCUGAUGAAGGUCCUCAGAACUCUGCUACUUGCAACUGUGGAUCUCAGUUCACCAGGAAGUCAUCUUGUUAAAAAGAAGCCAAAAGAAAGAUUUUAAAGUUGCUGAAAUAUAGAAUAACCCACCUUUUAAAUCAAUAUGGCUUAACUUUUAGGUCUGGUGUCUAAAUAGUACAUCUUUAAGUUAGACCAUUGAUCAAUGAAAUGAGCUACUGUAGCAGUGAAAACAACAGGAAAGUUUUGAAGAGAUAUAUAUACAAUGUGCUGUGGUUUGUGGUUUGUAUUUUGUUUUCAUUAAACCCUUUUGUCACACCUUAACUGUUUCUGACUAAAUAAAG